GACGAACGCUGGCGGCGUGCUUAACACAUGCAAGUCGAACGGAAAGGCCCUGCUUUUUUGGGGUGCUCGAGUUGCGAACGGGUGAGUAACACGUGAGUAACCUGCCCUUCACUUUGGGAUAACUUCAUGAAACUGAGUCUAUUACCGGAUAGGAGCUCCUGCUUCUUGGUGGGGGUUGGUAAGUUUCGGCGGUUGGUGAUGUACUCGCGGCUUAUCAGAUUGUUGGUUGGGUAGUGGCUUACCAAGGCUUUGCCGGGUAGCCGGCCUGAGAGGGUGACCGGACACAUUGGGAUUGAGAUACGGCACAGCCUAGUACGGGAGGGAGCAGUGGGGAAUAUUGCAAUAUGGGAGGAAGCAUGAUGCAGCACAGCAGUGCGGGGGAUGACGGGAUUGGGGUUGGAAACCGAUUUCGUCUGUGACGAAGUGUGAGUGACGGUAAUGGGUAAAGAAGCUCCGGCUAACUACGUG
This 468-nucleotide ribosomal RNA is filed under the name uncultured bacterium. RNAcentral's name for it is "partial 16S ribosomal RNA". It matches the Rfam family "Bacterial small subunit ribosomal RNA", at positions 28 to 507 of the family's 1533-position model. The record is from RNAcentral.